Long non-coding RNA from Nerophis ophidion (straightnose pipefish), 1244 nucleotides. RefSeq lists it as uncharacterized. The transcript is spliced from 5 exons. Lineage: Eukaryota; Metazoa; Chordata; Actinopteri; Syngnathiformes; Syngnathidae. The record is from RefSeq and is a predicted model, not a curated record.
GGUUGGAAUUGGAGGUUAAAUCACCAAAUGAUUGGCCACCACUGCUGCUCACUGCUCCCCUGUGGGGAUGGCUCAAAUGCAGAGGAUAAUUUCACCCCACCUAGUGUGACAAUCAUUGGCACUUUAAUUUGCGUGUGAGGUGUGACUUAUACUCCAGAGCGACUUAUACUCCGAAAAUUACGACUUUACCGUUGCUGUUGUUGUCGGGCGCGUCCACAUCUUCGACCACGUGACUCUAAAGUCUCCUCCACCUGUGGACAAGAAGCGCCUCCUGUAACUGCCAAUCAAAACCGUGCGCGGAGGUCACGUGACGUGUGCUCACCGGUUCUAGCCUUUGUCUCUCGGUGGCCAUGUCCAGCUGGAUGGUGUGGAAAGGCGUGACCACCUCGCCCAUUGUCAGCCUGACCGGCUCCUUCCCAAACACCAGCGUGUUUCCGUCAGCCUCCUUGAAGCCUGGCGGCUGAUAGUCCUGAGGCGUCACUGAGGCCUUCUCUGGAAAAAGUCCUCUUAGGUAUGUGAUGCCAGACACGGCAAUGGCCAGAAGUUUCUUGAUGACAGCGAUGGACUGCAGCUCCGACACAACCUGAUUGGGCAACAGCUGAGUGUCCUGGAGAAGAACACAAACACAUCACAAACAAUGAACACGAACACAAUGUACGUAUGUCUAAAACAUAAAGAAUUAUACUUAUAAUGCUCCUUUGUGUAUGUCUUUCAACCCAUCUUAAAUGUGCAAUUGCUGGGUUGCAAUCAUGCGACCUACAGGCUCUUCCAGGUCUAGGCAAUGGCCUAGAGCAGUAGUUCUCAAAUGGGGGUACGCGUACCCCUGGGGGUACUUGAAGGUAUGCCAAGGGGUACGUGAGAUUUUUUUUAAAUAUUCUAAAAAUAGCAACAAUUAAAAAAUCCUUUAUAAAUAUAUUUAUUGAAUAAUACUUAAACAAAAUAUGAAUGUAAGUUCAUAAACUGUAUACAAAAAAACAAAACAAUGCACUAUUCAGUAUUGACAGACAGAUUUUUUGUGGAUGUGUUCCAUAAAUAUUGAUGUUAGAGAUUUAUUAUUUUGAGAAGAAAUGUUUAGAAUUAAGUUGAUGAAUCCAGAUGGAUCUCUAUUACAAUCCCCAGAGAGGGCACUUUAAGUUGAUGAUUACUUCUAUGUGUAGAAAUAUUUAUUUAUAAUUGAAUCACUUGUUUAUUUUCCAACAAGUUUUUAGUUAUUUUUACAUCUUUUUUUUCCCAAAUAGUUCAAG